Long non-coding RNA from Erinaceus europaeus (western European hedgehog), 843 nucleotides. RefSeq lists it as uncharacterized. The transcript has 3 exons. The record is from RefSeq and is a predicted model, not a curated record. NCBI's taxonomy places the organism in Eukaryota, Metazoa, Chordata, Mammalia, Eulipotyphla, Erinaceidae.
CAAAGCAUACAUGUUACCAGAAAGAUGGCUGAAUUUCAGAACCAUCGAGUGAAACAUAUGAACUUGAAGAUAAAGACAUUGGGAAGAAGGGGUCGACAAGAGCUGAAAAUGAUAUUGGUGGGGAUCAGUGGCUUGAACCCAGUUCCUUGAACCUGGCUUGACACCUGAACCAUUUUGAAAACCCUGAUUAUUCCACUGGUAACAAUGGAAUGACAUCACAUUGAGGACCGAUAUAAUAUUGUAAGUCCAGUCAGCAGGAAGCCAACCGGUUGUUUCACAUUGGUUCACUUAACAAAUAUUCUUGAUAAUCAACUCUUCUUAUGCACUAUACUGAAGUCUGAAGAUGGUUAUGCUGGAAAAAGAUGUAACAAGUUAUUAUGAGGUCUUGGAGAAGAGAUAUUCAACUCACUAUGAGAAGGGAAAGGGGGAGUGUGAUUGUCAGGAAAGCUUUUAGGUGCUUGUAUUUGAGUGAUUUUCAAAGGUUGAGUGGAAAGUAGGCAGGUAGAGGGUAUUGGUGGAAGUGAGGGGAGGAUAAACAGAAAAGUGGAGAUAAAGUUAGCAAGCUAGGAAAGUAACAAUCUGUCAUGAGAAACUACAGAAAUUCCAAACUUUCUGUAAUAUAAGGUGUGAGAUUGAGUCAUGGAAAAAUAAAGGAAGGAGAUUGAAUGGUAAAAAAUUAAAGGGAGGAGAUUGAGUGUUAAGGUGGUGGGCACAACAAGUUGAGUGCACAAUUUCUAGUCUGUAAGGACUAGAGUUCAAGCCCCUGAUCCCCACUCUUCAGUGGGAAAGCUUCAUGAGUGGUGAAACAGUGUUGUAUAUGUCUUUCUCUCACUUUCCCCUCUC